GAUGAACGCUAGCGGCAGGCCUAAUACAUGCAAGUCGAACGGAUAUAUGUUUUUCGGAAUAUAUAUUAGUGGCGCACGGGUGAGUAACACGUACAUAACUUGCCCUCAAGCGGGGGAUAGCCUUGGGAAACUGAGAGUAAUACCCCAUAGAAUUAUUGGACGGCAUCGUUUGAUAAUUAAAACUACGGUGCUUGGGGAUAGAUGUGCGUCUGAUUAGCUAGUUGGUGAGGUAACUGCUCACCAAGGCGACGAUCAGUAGGGGGCGUGAGAGCGUGGCCCCCCACACGGGUACUGAGACACGGACCCGACUCCUAACGGGAGGCAGCAGUAAGGAAUAUUGGUCAAUGGAGGGAACUCUGAACCAGCCAUGCCGCGUGAAGGAUGACGGCCCUCUGGGUUGUAAACUUCUUUUGGAUGGGGCGAAAAAACGGGAUUUAUCCUGGACUGACGGUACCAUCAGAAUAAGCACCGGCUAACUCCAUG
This 483-nucleotide ribosomal RNA is filed under the name uncultured bacterium. RNAcentral's name for it is "bacterial SSU rRNA". It matches the Rfam family "Bacterial small subunit ribosomal RNA", at positions 28 to 507 of the family's 1533-position model. The record is from RNAcentral.